GGCUUCAGCGACAAGCAGGUUGCCGCCAGGGUCAAUGCCUCGGAGCUCGAGGUCCGUAGGUCGCGCAAGGAGGCGGGCAUCGUG
This 84-nucleotide non-coding RNA is filed under the name Hemiselmis tepida. The record is from RNAcentral. Lineage: Eukaryota; Cryptophyceae; Cryptomonadales; Hemiselmidaceae.